This 506-nucleotide ribosomal RNA is filed under the name uncultured bacterium. RNAcentral's name for it is "partial 16S ribosomal RNA". It matches the Rfam family "Bacterial small subunit ribosomal RNA", at positions 28 to 523 of the family's 1533-position model. The record is from RNAcentral.
GAUGAACGCUAGCUACAGGCUUAACACAUGCAAGUCGAGGGGUAACAAGAGGAAAGCUUGCUUUCCUUGUUGACGACCGGCGCACGGGUGAGUAACGCGUAUCCAACCUGCCUAUAACUAGGGAAUAACCUUGCGAAAGUAAGACUAAUACCCUAUGAUUUCCUUUGAUGACAUCAGAUUAGGAAUAAAGAUUUAUCGGUUAUAGAUGGGGAUGCGUCUGAUUAGCUUGUUGGCGGGGUAACGGCCCACCCAGGCAACGAUCAGUAGGGGUUCGAAGGGGAAGGUCCCCCACAUUUGAACUGAGACACGGUCCAAACGCCUACGGGAGGCAGCAGUGAGGAAUAUUGGUCAAUGGGCGGAAGCCUGAACCAGCCAAGUAGCGUGCAGGAUGACGGCCCUAUGGGUUGUAAACUGCUUUUAUACAGGAAUAAAGUUAGCCACGUGUGGUUAUUUGUAGGUACUGUAUGAAUAAGGACCGGCUAAUUCCGUGCCAGCCGCCGCCGUAA